This 94-nucleotide transfer RNA is filed under the name Rhodospirillaceae bacterium. RNAcentral describes it as "tRNA-Ser". It matches the Rfam family "tRNA". Rfam says of the family: Transfer RNA (tRNA) molecules are approximately 80 nucleotides in length. RNAcentral also lists the same sequence under 2 other names. Lineage: Bacteria; Pseudomonadati; Pseudomonadota; Alphaproteobacteria; Rhodospirillales; Rhodospirillaceae. The record is from RNAcentral.
GGUGAGGUGGCCGAGAGGCUGAAGGCGGCGGUUUGCUAAACCGUUGAGGGGGCUUUAACCUCCUCCCAGGGUUCGAAUCCCUGCCUCACCGCCA